GAUGAACGCUGGCGGCGUGCCUAACACAUGCAAGUCGAACGAAGCACUUUUUUGGAUCCUUCGGGUGAAGAUAAAGUGACUGAGUGGCGGACGGGUGAGUAACGCGUGGGUAACCUGCCCUGUACAGGGGGAUAACAGCUGGAAACGGCUGCUAAUACCGCAUAAGCGCACAGGAAGACAUCUUCUGGUGUGAAAAACUUCGGUGGUACAGGAGUGGCCCGCCGUCUGAUUAGCUUGUUGGCGGGGUAAAGGGACCCACCCAAGGCGACGAUCAGUAGCCGGUCCUGAGAGGAUGAAC
This 298-nucleotide ribosomal RNA is filed under the name uncultured bacterium. RNAcentral describes it as "partial 16S ribosomal RNA". It matches the Rfam family "Bacterial small subunit ribosomal RNA", at positions 28 to 305 of the family's 1533-position model. The record is from RNAcentral.